GCAGUGCUGAAGAGUCCCAAACUAGGACGAAACAGUUGUCCAGUAC
Molecule: non-coding RNA, 46 nt
Filed under: Trichobilharzia regenti
Lineage: Eukaryota; Metazoa; Platyhelminthes; Trematoda; Strigeidida; Schistosomatidae
Source: RNAcentral